GUACACGCUGUGACUAGCAUAUCAAUAAGCGGAGGAAAAGAAACUAACAAGGAUUCCCCUAGUAACGGCGAGUGAAGCGGGAAGAGCUCAAAUUUGAAAUCUUAAAGGGUUUCCCUUUACGAAUUGUAGUUUAAAGAAGUGUUCUCUGUUGAGGUUUUGGUAAAAGUUCUUUGGAAUAGGACAUCAUAGAGGGUGAGAAUCCCGUAUUAGACCUUUACUUUCAACUUUGUGAUACACUUUCAAAGAGUCGGAUUGUUUGGGGAUGCAGUCCAAAAUGGGUGGUAAAUUUCAUCUAAAGCUAAAUAUUGGCGAGAGACCGAUAGCGAACAAGUACCGUGAGGGAAAGAUGAAAAGAACUUUGAAAAGAGAGUUAAACAGUACGUGAAAUUGUCAAAAGGGUAGCGUUUGACACCAGUGUUGUUUUUCUGAAAAUCAAUUAAAGAACUGUUUAUGCUAAGUUGUUUAGACUUUAUCAGCUAUCUGUUUAGUUUUGAGCUUUUCUUUAAUGCACUUUUCAGUUAACAAGUCAACAUCAAUUUCUUUUGCUGUAAAAAAGCUUGAGGAAGGUGGCUUGAGAUUCGUCUUAAGUGUUUAUAGCCUCUUGCCUAUGCAGUCGGAGAGAUUGAGGUCUGCAGCGUAGAUCCUUCGGGGCUAAAUGCAUUUGUGCUAAGUUAUAGCAUUUCAUAGACAACUUGUUGACUAUGAUUUGUCUUGUAGCUUACUCGCUUAUGUUAUUUUACCUACGCUUAGGAUGUUGACGAGACUGUCGAUCUCAUCUAUACAUGACUCUGUGCAUAUCAAUAAGCGGAGGAAAAGUCAAUACCUACGCUUAGGAUGUUGACGAGACUGUCGAUCUC
RNAcentral lists this ribosomal RNA (857 nucleotides) under uncultured Neocallimastigales. Its description in RNAcentral is "partial large subunit ribosomal RNA". It matches the Rfam family "Eukaryotic large subunit ribosomal RNA", at positions 22 to 646 of the family's 3401-position model. The record is from RNAcentral. Lineage: Eukaryota; Fungi; Neocallimastigomycota; Neocallimastigomycetes; Neocallimastigales.